GUCCCAUCUUGGACUUACGGGACCUCAAUCUCUUCAUCCGACCAACCAAGUUCAAGAUGGUCGCUUUCGCGUCCAUCCUCCCUAUGCUGCAGCGGGGAGAUUACUUUGUAUCCAUAGACUUGUGCGACGCAUACUUCCACAUGACGAUACGAGAAGCCCACAGACGCUUCCUCUGUUUCAAGGUCCUCGACCGGACUUACCAGUUUACCGUUUUACCUUUUGGCCUCAUUACAGCGCCAAGGAUCUUCACCAAGGUCGUUGCCGUUGUUGCCGCUCACCUCAGACUGCAAGGGAUCACGGUCUUCCCAUAUCUAGAUGACUGGCUUCUCGUCGGGCCCAACCCCGUCCUUUUGAAGCACCACGUCAAUCUCACCCUCCAACUUCUGGACUCUCUCGGCCUCCAACUCAAUCCCGAGAAGUCUCACCUCACCCCGUCGAAGAAAAUCCGUUUUAUCGGCGCCCUCUUUGACUCCAUUUCCCAGACUGUCUCCCUUCCAUCCGACAGAUUUCUAGCCCUCCGUCAUCAAAUCUCACUCUGCGAGACCAACCGGAGGGUCCGAGCCCGAUCCAUCCAGGUUCUCCUGGGCCACAUGGCUUCCACGGUGGAAGUCUCAGUCCAAUGUGUGCAGGGAUCUGCCAUUCCAUCCGGUCUGCCCCACAACAACCAUAACCACUCCAACUAUGCCUGGGGAGCUCACAUGGACGGCCUGACAGUCCAAGACCUCUGGUCUCCCCACGAAAGGAGCAACCACAUAAACUUCCUGGAGCUCCUUGCCAUCUUCAAAGCCCUGAAGGCUUUCUCCUGCCUGAUCUGCCACAAGUCCGUCCUCAUCCAAUCGGACAUCACAGUGGCAGUUUUUUACAUCAACAAGCAGGGCGGCACGGGCUUGAGGAAACUGAUGCUCAUCUCCUCCCGCAUACGGUCCUGGUGCAUAGCUCGCAAAAUUCAAUUAUUGGCACUUCACCUCCCGGGCGUCCAGAAUGGCCUAGCAGAUGCCCUGAGCAGAAUGACGAGCUCCUCUCAUGAGUGGCGGCUCUACCCAGAUAUUCUCCAUACUCUCUUCCGUGACUGGGGGUGGCCUGUUCUAGACCUGUUUGCCUCUCCUCAGAAUGCACAACUGCCUCGGUACGGAGCGAGACUUCCUCCAGCCUCCUUCCACGGCUGCCUAGGGGACGCCUUUCUACUAGACUGGUCGUCAGAGCCACUAUACCUCUUUCCUCCUUUUCCCCUGAUCCCGAGGGUCCUGGAGAAGCUCCGCUUGGCCUCAGCCAUGGCGAUCCUGAUAGCACUGGCCUGGCCACGGCAACCGUGGUACCCAGCCCUCCUUCACCUCUCCAAGGGGACUUUUUGCUCUCUCCCACCUCUGCCGCACCUUCUGUCCAGGGAGAACGGUCAGAUCCUCCAUCCCGAUCUCCCCUCUCUACAUCUUACUGCAUGGAGGAUUCUCUUGAGCUACCUCCCACUGAAUCUCCGAGAAGUUCUCCAGGCAACUCACAAACCAGCCACAACAAAAGCUUAUGCCUAUAAGAUUUCUCGCUUUCCUGCCUUUCUUCGGUCCCGAGGAAUUGAUACCUUUCCGACCUCGGUACCGGUGGUCUUGGACUUCCUCAUGACCCUUGCGGAGCGAAAGCUCUCCAUCGCUUCCAUGAG
Long non-coding RNA from Anolis carolinensis (green anole), 1651 nucleotides. The record is from Ensembl. NCBI's taxonomy places the organism in Eukaryota, Metazoa, Chordata, Lepidosauria, Squamata, Anolidae.